Molecule: ribosomal RNA, 540 nt
Filed under: uncultured bacterium
Lineage: Bacteria
Description: partial 16S ribosomal RNA
Rfam family: Bacterial small subunit ribosomal RNA
Source: RNAcentral
GAUGAACGCUGGCGGUGUGCCUAAUACAUGCAAGUCGUACGCAUUCUCGUUUCUGAUUGACGGUGCUUGCACCUAAUUGACGAGACAUUGGAAUGAGUGGCGGACGGGUGAGUAACACGUGGGUAACCUGCCCAGAAGCGGGGGAUAACAUUUGGAAACAGAUGCUAAUACCGCAUAAAAGUCAAAACCACAUGGUUUUGAUUUAAAAGAUGGUCUUUGUGCUAUCACUUCUGGAUGGACCCGCGGCGUAUUAGCUAGUUGGUAAGGUAACGGCUUACCAAGGGAAUGAUACGUAGCCGAACUGAGAGGUUGAUCGGCCACAAUGGGACUGAGACACGGCCCAUACUCCUACGGGAGGCAGCAGUAGGGAAUCUUCCACAAUGGGCGCAAGCCUGAUGGAGCAACACCGCGUGAGUGAAGAAGGGUUUCGGCUCGUAAAACUCUGUUGUUAAAGAAGAACGUAUCUAAGAGUAACCGCUUAGGUAGUGACGGUAUUUAACCAGAAAGCCACGGCUAACUACGUGCCAGCCGCCGCCGUAA